RNAcentral lists this transfer RNA (75 nucleotides) under Mycobacterium sp. RNAcentral describes it as "tRNA-Val". It matches the Rfam family "tRNA". From Rfam's summary of the family: Transfer RNA (tRNA) molecules are approximately 80 nucleotides in length. Their secondary structure includes four short double-helical elements and three loops (D, anti-codon, and T loops). Further hydrogen bonds mediate the characteristic L-shaped molecular structure. tRNAs have two regions of fundamental functional importance: the anti-codon, which is responsible for specific mRNA codon recognition, and the 3' end, to which the tRNAs corresponding amino acid is attached (by aminoacyl-tRNA synthetases). tRNAs cope with the degeneracy of the genetic code in two manners: having more than one tRNA (with a specific anti-codon) for a particular amino acid; and 'wobble' base-pairing, i.e. permitting non-standard base-pairing at the 3rd anti-codon position. Lineage: Bacteria; Bacillati; Actinomycetota; Actinomycetes; Mycobacteriales; Mycobacteriaceae. RNAcentral also lists the same sequence under 7 other names. The record is from RNAcentral.
GGUCCCGUAGCUCAGUGGGAGAGCGUCCGCCUCACACGCGGAAGGUCGCUGGUUCGAAACCAGCCGGGACCACCA